GGAGGAAGUAGGGGAUCGCAAGACCUUGCGCUUUUGGAGCGGCCGAUGCCUGAUUAGCUUGUUGGUAAGGUAAAAGCUUACCAAGGCUUCGAUCAGUAGCUGGUCUGAGAGGACGGCCAGCCACACUGGGACUGAGACACGGCCCAGACUCCUACGGGAGGCAGCAGUUGGGAAUUUUGGACAAUGGGGGCAACCCUGAUCCAGCCAUGCCGCGUGAGUGAAGAAGGCCUUCGGGUUGUAAAGCUCUUUCAGCCGGAACGAAACGGUUACGGUUAAUACCCGUGACUAAUGACGGUACCGGAAGAAGAAGCACCGGCUAACUACGUGCCAGCAGCCGCGGUAAUACGUAGGGUGCGAGCGUUAAUCGGAAUUACUGGGCGUAAAGCGUGCGCAGGUGGUUUUGUAAGUCAGAUGUGAAAUCCCCGGGCUCAACCUGGGAACUGCGUUUGAAACUACAAAGCUAG
RNAcentral lists this ribosomal RNA (464 nucleotides) under uncultured bacterium. RNAcentral describes it as "bacterial SSU rRNA". It matches the Rfam family "Bacterial small subunit ribosomal RNA", at positions 189 to 644 of the family's 1533-position model. The record is from RNAcentral.